CGGUUUUCACCUUGAUCUGAGAGCAAUAACCAGAAUGCUUAUCUGAGAUCAUCGUGAAAGCUAGU
This 65-nucleotide microRNA precursor is filed under the name Caenorhabditis briggsae. Its description in RNAcentral is "Cbr-Bantam-P3_pre stem-loop". It matches the Rfam family "mir-81 microRNA precursor family", at positions 15 to 77 of the family's 89-position model. Lineage: Eukaryota; Metazoa; Nematoda; Chromadorea; Rhabditida; Rhabditidae. The record is from RNAcentral.